GGACGAACGCUGGCGGCGCGCCUAACACAUGCAAGUCGAACGAGAGAUGAGGAGCUUGCUCUUCAGAUCGAGUGGCGAACGGGUGAGUAACGCGUGAGGAACCUGCCUCAAAGAGGGGGACAACAGUUGGAAACGACUGCUAAUACCGCAUAAGCCCACGGCUCGGCAUCGAGCAGGGGAAAAGGAGCAAUCCGCUUUGAGAUGGCCUCGCGUCCGAUUAGCUAGUUGGUGAGGUAACAGCCCACCAAGGCGACGAUCGGUAGCCGGACUGAGAGGUUGAACGGCCACAUUGGGACUGAGACACGGCCCAGACUCCUACGGGAGGCAGCAGUGGGGAAUAUUGCACAAUGGGGGAAACCCUGAUGCAGCGACGCCGCGUGGAGGAAGAAGGUCUUCGGAUUGUAAACUCCUGUUGUUGAGGAAGAUAAUGACGGUACUCAACAAGGAAGUGACGGCUAACUACGUG
RNAcentral lists this ribosomal RNA (466 nucleotides) under uncultured bacterium. Its description in RNAcentral is "bacterial SSU rRNA". It matches the Rfam family "Bacterial small subunit ribosomal RNA", at positions 27 to 507 of the family's 1533-position model. The record is from RNAcentral.